This 482-nucleotide ribosomal RNA is filed under the name uncultured bacterium. RNAcentral's name for it is "partial 16S ribosomal RNA". It matches the Rfam family "Bacterial small subunit ribosomal RNA", at positions 30 to 507 of the family's 1533-position model. The record is from RNAcentral.
AUUGAACGCUGGCGGCAUGCUUUACACAUGCAAGUCGAACGGUAACAGGCCGCAAGGUGCUGACGAGUGGCGAACGGGUGCGUAAUGCAUCGGAACGUGCCCAGUCGUGGGGGAUAACUACUCGAGAGAGUAGCUAAUACCGCAUACGAUCUAUGGAUGAAAGCGGGGGACCGUAAGGCCUCGCGCGAUUGGAGCGGCCGAUGUCAGAUUAGGUAGUUGGUGGGGUAAAGGCUCACCAAGCCAACGAUCUGUAGCUGGUCUGAGAGGACGACCAGCCACACUGGGACUGAGACACGGCCCAGACUCCUACGGGAGGCAGCAGUGGGGAAUUUUGGACAAUGGGCGCAAGCCUGAUCCAGCAAUGCCGCGUGCAGGAAGAAGGCCUUCGGGUUGUAAACUGCUUUUGUACGGAACGAAACGGCUCUGGUUAAUACCCGGGGCUAAUGACGGUACCGGAAGAAUAAGCACCGGCUAACUACGUG